RNAcentral lists this ribosomal RNA (760 nucleotides) under uncultured bacterium. Its description in RNAcentral is "bacterial SSU rRNA". It matches the Rfam family "Bacterial small subunit ribosomal RNA", at positions 8 to 796 of the family's 1533-position model. The record is from RNAcentral.
AGAGUUUGAUCCUGGCUCAGAACGAACGCUGGCGGCAUGCCUAACACAUGCAAGUCGGACGCUUUUGGGGUUUCGGCCUCAAGGGAGUGGCGGACGGGUGAGUAGCGCGUGGGAACCUGCCCCUUUGUGGGGGAUAACCGAGGGAAACUUCGGCUAAUACCGCAUGCGCCCCGGCGAAAGCUGGGGGAAAGAUUUAUCGCAGAGGGAGGGGCCCGCGUCGGAUUAGGUAGUUGGUGGGGUAACGGCCUACCAAGCCGGUGAUCCGUAGCUGGUCUGAGAGGAUGAUCAGCCACACUGGGACUGAGACACGGCCCAGACUCCUACGGGAGGCAGCAGUGGGGAAUAUUGGACAAUGGGCGCAAGCCUGAUCCAGCAAUGCCGCGUGAGUGAUGAAGGCCUUCGGGUUGUAAAGCUCUUUCGGCGGGGACGAUGAUGACGGUACCCGCAGAAGAAGCCCCGGCUAACUUCGUGCCAGCAGCCGCGGUAAUACGAAGGGGGCGAGCGUUGUUCGGAUUUACUGGGCGUAAAGGGCGCGUAGGCGGCGGGUCAAGUCGAGUGUGAAAGCCCCGGGCUCAACCUGGGAAUUGCGCUCGAGACUGGUCUGCUUGAGUUCGGGAGAGGAGAGUGGAAUUCCCAGUGUAGAGGUGAAAUUCGUAGAUAUUGGGAAGAACACCGGUGGCGAAGGCGGCUCUCUGGACCGAGACUGACGCUGAGGCGCGAAAGCGUGGGGAGCAAACAGGAUUAGAUACCCCCGUAGUCC